This 232-nucleotide ribosomal RNA is filed under the name uncultured bacterium. RNAcentral's name for it is "partial 16S ribosomal RNA". It matches the Rfam family "Bacterial small subunit ribosomal RNA", at positions 100 to 334 of the family's 1533-position model. The record is from RNAcentral.
GGGACGGGUGAGUAAUGUCUGGGAAACUGCCCGAUGGAGGGGGAUAACUACUGGAAACGGUAGCUAAUACCGCAUAACGUCGCAAGACCAAAGAGGGGGACCUUCGGGCCUCUUGCCAUCGGAUGUGCCCAGAUGGGAUUAGCUAGUAGGUGGGGUAACGGCUCACCUAGGCGACGAUCCCUAGCUGGUCUGAGAGGAUGACCAGCCACACUGGAACUGAGACACGGUCCAG